GUAGGGUGCGAGCGUUGUCCGGAAUUACUGGGCGUAAAGAGCUUGUAGGUGGUUUGUCGCGUUGUUCGUGAAAUCUCACGGCUUAACUGUGAGCGUGCGGGCGAUACGGGCAGACUGGAGUACUGCAGGGGAGACUGGAAUUCCUGGUGUAGCGGUGGAAUGCGCAGAUAUCAGGAGGAACACCGGUGGCGAAGGCGGGUCUCUGGGCAGUAACUGACGCUGAGAAGCGAAAGCGUGGGGAGCGAACAGGAUUAGAUACCCUGGUAGUCCACGCCGUAAACGGUGGGUACUAGGUGUGGGUUUCCUUCCUUGGGAUCCGUGCCGUAGCUAACGCAUUAAGUACCCCGCCUGGGGAGUACGGCCGCAAGGCUAAA
RNAcentral lists this ribosomal RNA (374 nucleotides) under uncultured bacterium. RNAcentral describes it as "bacterial SSU rRNA". It matches the Rfam family "Bacterial small subunit ribosomal RNA", at positions 527 to 898 of the family's 1533-position model. The record is from RNAcentral.